Molecule: long non-coding RNA, 601 nt
Organism: Gadus morhua (Atlantic cod)
Lineage: Eukaryota; Metazoa; Chordata; Actinopteri; Gadiformes; Gadidae
Exons: 2
Source: RefSeq, a predicted model, not a curated record
CCAAAAGCAAUCAUGCCCAGUGGUUGUUUGGUACCCGGUUGCACCGAAAAGUCGAGGUUGGGACAGAGUGUAAGUUUUCACGGUUUGCCAGUGAAAGACGCUCAGCGUUGCAAACUAUGGCUGCGGGCGAUAAACAACCCCAGAGUUGGAGAAGACACCGGGAAGGAAAUUAUAAAAGGAAAAACGAUAUGCAGUCUCCAUUUCAAACUGGAGGAUUUUGAUGGAAGACUUUUCGGCAAGAUAAGGUCCGCACUCAAACCAACUGCUGUUCCGUGCGUCUUCGCUGUGGGCCCGUGCCCAGAUGACGAACAGGCCGGGGCUUCUAAUGCACCUCCCGCAGCGAAACGCAGUCGCCUACAGGACAACCACGCUUCAACCAAGUGUUUUGCAGGAGAUCCAAGCAGUGGGUCGUGAAGCAGAUUUUUAUUCCACACACCACCCAGUUCAUUGACACACUUGUCACAAGUGUCAUAACCAGAAGACGAAACCCAACGAUUCUAUAUAAGGUUUCAACAUCCUCACUUGCCCUGCCCCAGCCUGCGCUGCCACCUAACAUUGCACCAGUGCCAAAACCACCAAAGGAGGCGGCAGUGGCUGAAUU